UUGGUAUUCAGCUCAGUGGCAUAAGCACCUGCCUGGCAAGCAGUAGGUCAUGAGUUCGAUCCCCAUUACCAAA
Molecule: transfer RNA, 73 nt
Filed under: Cavia porcellus (domestic guinea pig)
Lineage: Eukaryota; Metazoa; Chordata; Mammalia; Rodentia; Caviidae
Rfam family: tRNA
About the family: Transfer RNA (tRNA) molecules are approximately 80 nucleotides in length. Their secondary structure includes four short double-helical elements and three loops (D, anti-codon, and T loops). Further hydrogen bonds mediate the characteristic L-shaped molecular structure. tRNAs have two regions of fundamental functional importance: the anti-codon, which is responsible for specific mRNA codon recognition, and the 3' end, to which the tRNAs corresponding amino acid is attached (by aminoacyl-tRNA synthetases). tRNAs cope with the degeneracy of the genetic code in two manners: having more than one tRNA (with a specific anti-codon) for a particular amino acid; and 'wobble' base-pairing, i.e. permitting non-standard base-pairing at the 3rd anti-codon position.
Source: Rfam by way of RNAcentral